Molecule: ribosomal RNA, 566 nt
Filed under: uncultured fungus
Lineage: Eukaryota; Fungi
Description: eukaryotic LSU rRNA
Rfam family: 5.8S ribosomal RNA (bases 206-358)
Source: RNAcentral
CGUACAGGUCUCCGUAGGUGAACCUGCGGAGGGAUCAUUACACAAAUAUGAAGGCGGGCUGNAACCUCUCGGGGUUACAGCCUUGCUGAAUUAUUCACCCUUGUCUUUUGCGUACUUCUUGUUUCCUUGGUGGGUUCGCCCACCACUAGGACAAACAUAAACCUUUUGUAAUUGCAAUCAGCGUCAGUAACAAAUUAAUAAUUACAACUUUCAACAACGGAUCUCUUGGUUCUGGCAUCGAUGAAGAACGCAGCGAAUGCGAUAAGUAGUGUGAAUUGCAGAAUUCAGUGAAUCAUCGAAUCUUUGAACGCACAUUGCGCCCUUUGGUAUUCCAAAGGGCAUGCCUGUUCGAGCGUCAUUUGUACCCUCAAGCUUUGCUUGGUGUUGGGCGUCUUGUCUCUAGCUUUGCUGGAGACUCGCCUUAAAGUAAUUGGCAGCCGGCCUACUGGUUUCGGAGCGCAGCACAAGUCGCACUCUCUAUCAGCAAAGGUCUAGCAUCCAUUAAGCCUUUUUUUCAACUUUUGACCUCGGAUCANGUAGGGAUACCCGCUGAACUUAAGCAUAUC